RNAcentral lists this unclassified non-coding RNA (336 nucleotides) under uncultured Russula. RNAcentral describes it as "sequence contains ITS1, 5.8S rRNA gene, ITS2". The stretch from base 1 to 87 matches the Rfam family "5.8S ribosomal RNA", at positions 67 to 154 of the family's 154-position model. The record is from RNAcentral. Lineage: Eukaryota; Fungi; Basidiomycota; Agaricomycetes; Russulales; Russulaceae.
GUGAAUUGCAGAAUUCAGUGAUCAUCGAAUCUUUGAACGCACCUUGCGCCCCUUGGUAUUCCGAGGGGCACACCCGUUUGAGUGUCGUGAAAUUCUCAAACCUUCUUGGUUUCUUGAUCAAGAUGGCUUUGGACUUUGGAGGCAUUUGCUGGCUUUGUGAAAAGCCAGCUCCUCUUGAAUGCAUUAGUGGGGUCCCCUUUGCCGAUCCCCAGGCGUGAUAAGAUGUUUCUACGCCUUGGGAUUUGCUCUGCUCCUUGGGAACCUGCUUCUAACCGUCUCAUGGAAGACAUUGUUCGAGCUUGCUCGACCCACGAACCUUGACCUCAAAUCGGGUGA